AGCUUGGUGGUUAUAGCAUGAGUGAAACACACGAUCCCAUCCCGAA
This 46-nucleotide ribosomal RNA is filed under the name Rickettsia sibirica subsp. mongolitimonae. Its description in RNAcentral is "partial 23S ribosomal RNA". Lineage: Bacteria; Pseudomonadati; Pseudomonadota; Alphaproteobacteria; Rickettsiales; Rickettsiaceae. RNAcentral also lists the same sequence under 1 other name. The record is from RNAcentral.